ACCCAGUUGGAGCUUCCCGGCUGCUUUGUUUACCUAAGCAAGCCUGGGCAAUGGUGGGCGCCCCUCCCCCAGCCUCGCAGCCGCCUUGCAGUUUGAUCUCAGACUGCUGUGCUAGCCAUCAGCGAGACUCCGUGGGCGUAGGACCCUCCGAGCCAGGUGUGGGAUAUAGUCUCGUGGUGCGCCGGUUUUUAAGCUGGUCUGAAAAGCGCAAUAUUCAGGUGGGAGUGACCCGAUUUUCCAGUCUUUUUCUGGAGGAAGAGCAAUCAAGUUUGUGGCCACAGAGAUGCUGGUGGGAUGGACAUGGUUCUGGAUCUGAGCUCUAAUCACAAUUGCAGCAGCUGCACCCAGAGGACCAGUGCUGGAUCCCCACUCUGGGGAAGGCAAUGGCUGUGCACCCUGGAGCUCAUGUUCACUGGGGAUCUGCAGGUGGAGCUGGAGUUGGGGUACAGCAAAGUUCUGCUGCCACAGAGGAAGGGGAACCUGGCCGUGUUCAUCGCGCCACAGGGGGACAGCCUCCGAGUUCUCAAGCAGCUUUUUAAUGUGUAUUUCCGAUGAUGUAGAGGACAGAAGAGGCAACAGGUCAUUGUGAUGGUGGCUGUCGUGGACACAGGCUGGAAGGUGAACUCAAAGCUCUUUACCCUCAAAGCGGAUCUCUGGCAAGAGGCAAGAACAGGUUUUAAGAAAAGAAGUGAAAUAGGAAGAAGGACUAACACAGAUGACUUUUCCAACUCCAAGACCUGCAUUGCUCUCUUCCCAACUUUUGUUCAUUCAGCUGCACCAGUAAGCAUUCCACUUUGAUGAAUGGAUUGAACAUCAAAUACCACAGCUAAGCCAUGUCAUGUGUCUGGAAGACAGAAUAUGGAUUUCAUGUAUUUCUACUUUCUUCUUAAACAAGCAGCUUAUUCCCUUCCUUUUACCAAAGGUAGAAAAAAAAUAAACUAGAUUUUUUUAAGCAUAAAAUUAGGUGGUUGUUCUUUUGUUCAAUCCAAUGGAAUAAUAUAUUUAAACUAUUAUACUGCUGAUUUAAAGGUAUAUCAUAAUUAUACCCCUAGAACAUACAAGACAUUGGCCACUGUCCCAAAGAGAUAUCAAGAAUAACCCAUAUGCCCAAGUUAUCCAAAUUCUAUGCUUCUUUAUUCUCCAGAUUCCCUGGAUAGAUCAACUGGGUUAGGGAGACUCAUGGGGCCAUUUCUACAGGAGAAAACAGAGACUCCAUUUUCUGGGUGUCAUUUCACUUUCCACCUGCCGCAUGGAGCUGUUGAUGCCACAUCUGCCAGAAUGGUGUUCAGGUUUCUGGCACCUGCCAUGUUUAGGGAUGUUCAGAUUCUUAUCUCUGCUCUCUCCAGUCCAGAGAAGAUAAAAAUAGGGCAAGUGAGCCUGCACCAACAUAGUCUAAGCCUUGCUUCUCGGGUUCUC
RNAcentral lists this long non-coding RNA (1416 nucleotides) under Homo sapiens (human). RNAcentral's name for it is "HSALNT0236119". Lineage: Eukaryota; Metazoa; Chordata; Mammalia; Primates; Hominidae. The record is from RNAcentral.